CGUUCUGUAAGCCUGUGAAGGUGUGCUGUGAGGCAUGCUGGAGGUAUCAGAAGUGCGAAUGCUGACAUAAGUAACGAUAAAGCGGGUGAAAAGCCCGCUCGCCGGAAGACCAAGGGUUCCUGUCCAACGUUAAUCGGGGCAGGGUGAGUCGACCCCUAAGGCGAGGCCGAAAGGCGUAGUCGAUGGGAAACAGGUUAAUAUUCCUGUACUUGGUGUUACUGCGAAGGGGGGACGGAGAAGGCUAUGUUGGCCGGGCGACGGUUGUCCCGGUUUAAGCGUGUAGGCUGGUUUUCCAGGCAAAUCCGGAAAAUCAAGGCUGAGGCGUGAUGACGAGGCACUACGGUGCUGAAGCAACAAAUGCCCUGCUUCCAGGAAAAGCCUCUAAGCAUCAGGUAACAUCAAAUCGUACCCCAAACCGACACAGGUGGUCAGGUAGAGAAUACCAAGGCGCUUGAGAGAACUCGGGUGAAGGAACUAGGCAAAAUGG
This 487-nucleotide ribosomal RNA is filed under the name Escherichia coli. Its description in RNAcentral is "partial 23S ribosomal RNA". It matches the Rfam family "Bacterial large subunit ribosomal RNA", at positions 1237 to 1725 of the family's 2925-position model. The record is from RNAcentral. Lineage: Bacteria; Pseudomonadati; Pseudomonadota; Gammaproteobacteria; Enterobacterales; Enterobacteriaceae.